Molecule: transfer RNA, 64 nt
Filed under: Holarthrothrips indicus
Lineage: Eukaryota; Metazoa; Arthropoda; Insecta; Thysanoptera; Stenurothripidae
Description: tRNA-Lys
Source: RNAcentral
UAAUAUAAGUUAUAAAAACUUUUAGAUUUUUACUCUAAUAAAGAGAAUUACUUCUCUAUUAAUA